Molecule: ribosomal RNA, 245 nt
Filed under: uncultured bacterium
Lineage: Bacteria
Description: partial small subunit ribosomal RNA
Rfam family: Bacterial small subunit ribosomal RNA
Source: RNAcentral
AGAAUCAACGCUGGCGGCGUGCCUAACACAUGCAAGUCGAACGAGAAAGUGGAGCAAUCCAUGAGUAAAGUGGCGCACGGGUGAGUAACACGUGACUAACCUACCCUUGAGUGGGGGAUAACCUAGGGAAACCUGGGCUAAUACCGCAUAACACUUACGAGUCAAAGCAGCAAUGCGCUUGGAGAGGAGUUCGCGGCAGAUUAGUUAGUUGGCGGGGUAAUGGCCCACCAAGACGAUGAUCUGUA